AGGUAAUUCUGUCUAUUUGUGUAAAUUCAAAGUUUUACAGUUGCUACUUGCUUGGCUAACUAUAGCAUGGUUGUGCAUAAUGCUAGAACGACAUCUAGGAUACUUUUCCUUGCGUCAAUGAUGAAAAAGGAUUGUCUACCUUGUAAAAAAAAUGUAAUCAUGUGUGUCGUGAUUUCUGGCAGACAACUUACGUUAUGUGCAGUUGUAACACAGACCAGCUACAGCUAGAACCACUGCGUGUAAACGAUGGAGAUACUAAGACUAAUUUCGGGUUCGGCCACCGUAGGAGUUAGAACACGCUCGGAAUGGGGGCGGCUAGAAAGUGAAAUUCAGUAGGUUGUCACAUACAAUAUCACCGCUAGAUGGGAAAAAUUCUUACACAAUGUAGCUUUAAGCCAUGGGUGCUGUGCUCA
Etheostoma spectabile (orangethroat darter) is the source of this 413-nucleotide long non-coding RNA. RefSeq lists it as uncharacterized. The transcript has 2 exons. The record is from RefSeq and is a predicted model, not a curated record. Lineage: Eukaryota; Metazoa; Chordata; Actinopteri; Perciformes; Percidae.